GCAGCCAAAAUCAACGAGACAGACACCUUCGGUCCCGGAGACGACGACGAGAUCCAGUUCGAUGACAUCGGCGACGAUGAUGAGGACAUCGAUGAUAUCUAAAGACCUGCUACUGGAGGGGGAAGGUGGGAUUUUACUAGAGAUGCUCCGAUUGGGAUAUUUUGAGCCGACACACGCACCAAUAACCAUUAUUUUUAUUAAGAUCAGCCUAUGCCAAUCCAAUACACUUUAUCGAUAUACAGUAUGUUUCAAUUUAUUCCAGUUUGUUAACCAUCAGUAGACGUCUUUGUUGUUUUUUUUGAGAAAUUUUAAGUGCAUUUCACAUAGGGGGGGUUAAAACAGGAAAAAACCGACACCAGUACUUUGAGUUCCUCGUUGACAUGAAUGAAAAUGAGAUGCCGCUUUAGUGCGACAGUCGGAGUUCUCACUCGUAGAGCUGGAGGCGACGCAGCAGGCCGCCUGGUGACUGAACCAUGACGCAGACGGUUUGCCUUCAUGCGGUUGGAUUGGAGAAUCAACAGUAGGCUGAUCACCAGCAUCAUAUUUAGGAUGAACAUCUGGAGCAUUUCUAGAUUUUCACCUUUUUUUUUUUUUGCUUUGAACAUCAACAAAACGGCAAAUUAUCCAUCACUGAUUUUUUUCUUUUUUCUUUCCUGCAUUAUAAUAAGAAUAUUAUUGCCAGAAUAACACUCAAUAUUUAGGAGAAGCUGUAGCCGAUACUGCUAAAUAUCUCAUGCGGCAUCUUUUUGAAAAUGUAUUUAUAUUGAUUUCACACUAUGUGGAAUUUAGCGACAAGUACAGAAUCUCUGGAUUCGUCAAUAAAAAGAUAAACCAGUUUGUCUUUUCCUUUGGCAGUCUGUCAUUGCAGCCUGUAGAUCAGCUCAUACACCUAUAGGCAGUUUAUAAGCUGUUUAUCGACGACAAAGAAAGAUUAAUAAUAACACUCGGCUCUUUUUCUUAGCGUCACUGACACCGUGUUACGAUGAACUAUUUGCUCGUUUUGAACCAUGGCCCUAAUGAAGGCGAUCCCGCUCCCCCGAAAUCAAAAAGAAGACUCGAAAUGUAUUUUUCUAUUGUUUCCCUUUUUUGUGUUUUCUGUCUGUUUGUGUUUCCAUGUUCUGUUUUUGAACUCUUCGCUGCUCGCUCUGUGGCGUCAACACUCGCUCACGGUCUCUCCAGACCAGCGGUUCCCAAACCUUCCCACCGCCGUCUCUCACACACACACACUCACACACACACACCUGUAAAACCUCAGAUCAGAGCAGCCACUCUUACAGAAAACCAGAUAUACGGAUAGUUUAUUAGUUCCCCACUUUGACUCCUCUCUGGGAACUACCCCGUGUUCCCUGAGGGGGGCCGGCACCUCAGUUUGGGAACCACUGCUCUGAACCAAAUGGGCCCUGUCGCUGUUGUUGCUGUAACUCUGAAUUAAUAAAAAAAAAUGUACUAUGAUGUUUGAAGGCUGGGUUUCCAAUAAAGAUCUUAACUCCA
Plectropomus leopardus (leopard coralgrouper) is the source of this 1491-nucleotide non-coding RNA. The record is from RefSeq and is a predicted model, not a curated record. NCBI's taxonomy places the organism in Eukaryota, Metazoa, Chordata, Actinopteri, Perciformes, Serranidae.